Molecule: long non-coding RNA, 1017 nt
Filed under: Mytilus galloprovincialis (Mediterranean mussel)
Lineage: Eukaryota; Metazoa; Mollusca; Bivalvia; Mytilida; Mytilidae
Source: RNAcentral
UUUCUGUUUGAAAUUACUAUUACAAUGCUUGUUAAAGGGUAUUCCAAUAUAUUUCAUUAAUUCAGAUAGUUUAUAAGACCAUGAAUUUUCUUUAUUUGUGAGAGUUUUGUCCACUUCAAAAGCAGCUUUGAGAAUUUCAUGCGGACCACCAGACCGUUCACCAAUAUUACUGAGACGCUCAUAAUAUUUAAACAUAAGUUGAUAACAUUUAAUGCUAAUGGGUAAAGUGCCCAAUUCACACCGCACUGCUAGAUUGGAAGACUUUCCAUGAACCCCAAGUAUGUUUUUAAAUAUGGAGUUUUGUGUUUUUUCUAAUUUACUUUUGUCUAAUGCUUCAAAAUUUGGUUUGAAUUCUGAUAUCCAUACUUCUGAUCCAUAAGUUAAAAUAGGAGUUAUCAUUGAAUUAAAAAGCUGGAGCCAAGUCUUAACAGACAAAUUUUCACUAUAUGGUAGUUUUGACUUCAAUGCAAAAUAUGCUUUUUUAGCUUUAUCUGAGAGGCUUGACACUGCCUGUAUAAAUUUUCCAGAGCUAUGAAAAUCAACUCCUAAGUAUUUAUAACAAUCAACAAUUUCAAAUUGCUGUAAUAAAAGUAAAAGUUUUCUUUAUUUACUUUAAUUUUAGAGAAAAUUAUAAUUUUUGUUUUCUUAAGGUUCACGUCCAGUUUCCAUUCAGUACUAUAUUUUUGUAAAGAAUCAAGAGAGUUCUGGAGACCAUCUGCAGAUUCUGAUAUCAACAAUAAAUCAUCAGCAUACAAUAAAUGGUUCACUUUUUGACCAUUUAAAUUAACUGCACUAGUUAAGUUUGUAUCUAAGUAUUUUCCUAUGUCAUCAACAAAUAUAUUAAAUAAAGUUGGACUUAAACUGUCACCUUGUUUGACACCCUGAUUAGCAAGAAAAGGCUUGGUAAACAUAUUUUGAUAUUUACAUGAAUAUAAGGUAUUAGAGUACAUGUCAUGCAGUAUAUUAUAAAAUUUGCCUUGUAUUCCUUUAUUUUGUAAUUUUAAGAACAGAGCUGAU